GACGAACGCUGGCGGCGUGCUUAACACAUGCAAGUCGAACGGUGAAGCGCCUUCCUUUUUGGUGGGUGUGGAUGAGUGGCGAACGGGUGAGUAACACGUGAGUAACCUGCCCCCUUCUUCUGGAUAACCGCAUGAAAGUGUGGCUAAUACGGGAUAUUCUGGGUCUGUCGCUUGAUGGGUCUGGGAAAGAUAUUGUUUCGGUGGGGGAUGGGCUCGCGGCCUAUCAGCUUGUUGGUGGGGUGAUGGCCUACCAAGGCGGUGACGGGUAGCCGGCCUGAGAGGGUGGAAGGACACACUGGGACUGAGACACGGGCCAGACGCCUACGGGAGGAAGCAGUGGGGAAUAUUGCACAAUGAGCGCAAGACUGAAGCAGCGAAGCCGCGUGAGGGAAGGAGGCCUUCGGGUUGUGAACCUCUUUCGCCAGAGAAGCAGGCCUGCCUCGUUUGUGGGUGGGUUGACGGUAGCUGGAUAAGAAGCGCCGGCUAACUACGUG
Molecule: ribosomal RNA, 494 nt
Filed under: uncultured bacterium
Lineage: Bacteria
Description: partial 16S ribosomal RNA
Rfam family: Bacterial small subunit ribosomal RNA
Source: RNAcentral